CGUGUAGGCGGUCAGGUAAGUGGAAUGUGAAAUGCCCCGGCUCACCCGGGGACCGGCAUCCCAAACUGCCUGGCUUGAGUAUGGGGGAGGAUGGAGGAAUUCCUGGUGUAGCGGUGAAAUGCGUAGAUAUCAGGAGGAACACCGGUGGCGAAGGCGUCCAUCUGGCCCAAUACUGACGCUGAGGCGCGAAAGCUAGGGGAGCAAACG
RNAcentral lists this ribosomal RNA (207 nucleotides) under uncultured Latescibacterota bacterium. Its description in RNAcentral is "uncultured Latescibacteria bacterium partial 16S ribosomal RNA". It matches the Rfam family "Bacterial small subunit ribosomal RNA", at positions 568 to 774 of the family's 1533-position model. The record is from RNAcentral. Lineage: Bacteria; Pseudomonadati; Candidatus Latescibacterota.